CCGGACGCGGACUGGACCAGCGGCCCGCCGGGGACCUCAAACUCUUGUAUUCCAGCAUCUUCUGAAUACGCCGCAAGGCAAAACAAAUGAAUCAAAACUUUCAACAACGGAUCUCUUGGCUCUGGCAUCGAUGAAGAACGCAGCGAAACGCGAUAAGUAAUGUGAAUUGCAGAAUCCAGUGAAUCAUCGAAUCUUUGAACGCACAUUGCGCCCGCCAGCAUUCUGGCGGGCAUGCCUGUUCGAGCGUCAUUUCAACCCUCGACCUCCCCUUGGGGGGGUCGGCGUUGGGGACCGGCAGCACACCGCCGGCCCUGAAAUGGAGUGGCGGCCCGUCCGCGGCGACCUCUGCGCAGUAAUACAGCUCGCACCGGAACCCCGACGCGGCCACGCCGUAAAACACCCAACUUCUGAACGUUGACCUCGAAUCAGGUAGGAUUCCCAGAGUUUUC
Molecule: ribosomal RNA, 449 nt
Filed under: Beauveria bassiana
Lineage: Eukaryota; Fungi; Ascomycota; Sordariomycetes; Hypocreales; Cordycipitaceae
Description: eukaryotic LSU rRNA
Rfam family: 5.8S ribosomal RNA (bases 96-249)
Source: RNAcentral